GGGGAUAUAGCUCAGUUGGUUAGAGCAUUUGCAUCACACGCAAGGGGUCCUGAGUUCGAGUCUCAGUAUCCCCA
This 74-nucleotide transfer RNA is filed under the name Coraliomargarita sp. CAG:312. It matches the Rfam family "tRNA". Rfam says of the family: Transfer RNA (tRNA) molecules are approximately 80 nucleotides in length. Their secondary structure includes four short double-helical elements and three loops (D, anti-codon, and T loops). The record is from Rfam by way of RNAcentral. Lineage: Bacteria; Pseudomonadati; Verrucomicrobiota; Opitutia; Puniceicoccales; Coraliomargaritaceae.